Cyprinus carpio carpio is the source of this 1340-nucleotide long non-coding RNA. Lineage: Eukaryota; Metazoa; Chordata; Actinopteri; Cypriniformes; Cyprinidae. The record is from Ensembl.
GUGUAUCAUAUCCCAUAAGAUUUGCAUUGAUGUAAAAGCUUUCUAAUGUAAAUGUUCUGCAUUUUUCUCUAUUCAAAUGUUCUAAUGUUACUCAUGUCUUGUUAACAUGUUUUCCACAUUAAAUAUUUAAAUACCUGAUAUUUUAUGUAAUGUGUGGUAUUAUACCAAGCACAUAUAUCCCUGUGACAGCAUAUCAAGUCAGUCUAGAGAUUUAUGUUGCUCCAUAAAGACAUUCAAUCUUUAAAGUUUUGAUUUAGUUUUGCCUAUACAUUAAGAACAUCUUUGAGGUUUUGUUUCCAUCAGCAGGUCCUGAGGUUCUUGAUAAUUACUGGAAACUACAAUAUACUGGAAAUAUCAAUAUGAUGAUGAACUCCACUGGGAACGUCUCUUCACCUAAAGAUCAUCUUUCUACCAACCUCACAACACAUGAGGUUUCAUCGCUGGAUGGUUUUCGGAUUGUUGUACUGUGCUUUAAUAUAUUGUUUGGUGUUCCUACAUACUCCUAUGUCAUGUGGCUUAUUAUCAGGGGGAAAAAUGGAGUUGCGUCAGAGUUCUUCAACUUCAAUCUCAAUGUUUGUGAGAUCGUUUUCUCUCUGUCUGCUUUGACCUUUCUACUGUCAAAGAUGUUUCCAAGUUUUGUGCCAGUGCAGAACUUUUCACUCGGGCUUGUCAUCACCGUUCGUCCUCUGUUUCAGUGUCUGAUCUGUGUUGAGCGUUACCUAGCAGUGGUUCAUCCUGUAACCUUUCUGAAAUACAAACCUCUCAGAUAUAGAGUGAUCUGUUCUGUUUUUGUGUGGCCAGUGGGCCUUGGCUCCAGUUUGUUCUGCAUGAUCAGCUUUCUCACACACGAUAUUUAUGCAUUUACAUGGUUCUUCCUACUUCAGUUUCUAGUCUUUCUUUCCAUCCAGUUGUUCUGCUGUGUGGCUGUUCUCAGAGCUCUGAAGAAGUCAGGACCAGGAGAAAAAGGGAGAGAGAGAGAGGAGGAAAACUACACGAAGAGAAGAGCAUUUUAUCUUAUACUAAUAACUUCUGUGACAAUGGUAAUCAUUUACGCCCCUUUUAUUAUCACAGGAAUCCUCUAUAUGCUAACGCAACAAGAAGUUUCAGUUGCCUAUCCAAUUAGUUUCAUUUGCUUUAUUUUGGGUGGUUUUGUGCAGCCUGUUCUGUAUCUUCAUCGUGCUGGGAAACUUUCUUGUUUCUGUUCUACUUAAAAUCUGCUACUAACUACUGAAUACUAGCACCGAUUGCUUGCUUUUAUUUUUUGUAUAAUAGAUAAAUAAAUAAAUAAAUAUAUAUAAAAAAAAUCCAUCUGAAAACAUUACUUUCAAUGAAACUUGGGC